UACGUAGGGUGCAAGCGUUAAUCGGAAUUACUGGGCGUAAAGCGCGUGUAGGCGGCUAAGUAAGUCGGGCGUGAAAUCCCACGGCUCAACCGUGGAAGUGCACUCGAAACCGCAUAGCUAGAGUCCUGGAGAGGAAGGUGGAAUGCUUGGUGUAGAGGUGAAAUUCGUAGAUAUCAAGCGGAACACCGGUGGCGAAGGCGGCCUUCUGGACAGUGACUGACGCUGAGACGCGAAAGCGUGGGGAGCAAACAGG
This 253-nucleotide ribosomal RNA is filed under the name uncultured bacterium. RNAcentral's name for it is "partial 16S ribosomal RNA". It matches the Rfam family "Bacterial small subunit ribosomal RNA", at positions 524 to 776 of the family's 1533-position model. The record is from RNAcentral.